CAGAGCGCGGUGUCCGCGGGGCCGCCGCCGGCGCCGCGCAGGGUCGGAGGCAACCGCCUGCCCCGACCCUCCUCCGCCCGCUUCGGCCUUAUAUUUAAUACAUGCCCUUUCAUCUAUUAUUCAGGCUGCUCUGACUCCAGCUCUGUCUCGCCUCCCAUUUACGCCUGCACACCUUUCUCCUUCCCCUUCCCGAAGGGUCAGCCGAGACACUCGCCGAGGGAGGGAGAGAGCUGCUCUGCUGGUUUGGGUCUUGUCUGCUUAAACAUUGAACUGGAAAAGAUUCCUCCUCUCUGUGGUUUGAUAAAUAAUAAAAGUGAUCGUUUCGCCUUCCCCAUAAAUGACACAGGUAAUCAUACAUUAUUAACCUCAUGGAAGGGGCAGGUCUUCAAGCCGUGGUAUUUGCACACCGAAUUGAGGCCCAGAGUACCAAAGAGGCGAGGACUGUCACAACUGCUUCUAAUAAUGAGAAAAAAAGAAUGGAAAGGGCUGACUUUCUGAGAAGGAGUUGGAAUCGCCCAGUGUAGCAUUAGCACCACCUCUGAAAUGUGAGAAAUUGCUCUGAAAUACGUCCAGUGUUCUCUUGAGUAGCCAUUUUUAUCCUCCAGUAGAUGUUUAUUCCCUCACUCUUAUAUUUGAGAAAACUGCAGUGUUAGAUGUUGCACUCUCCUCCAAUGCAGCUCUGUGCCAUUAUUUAUAUUGUUUCUUAAUAGUCGCCUUUCUUUACGCUGAUGUAUUAACCUUUUGUCUAUAUAUAAGAACACUGGACUCGUAAUCACAUCCCAACCUAUUGAAAUGACUUGCGUAUUGUAGCAUAUUGACUAUUCAUCCACAUCAUCGCUUGUUAUCUUUGGCUCCGUAUUAUUAUGUAUCAAAUUCUUUUCCAUACCAUUUUUGACUCAAAUUCUAGCAUGCUAGAAACUGACUCCAAUUAUUCUGUACUAGCUAUAGUCAAAUUGCACUAAAUGGAAUUGCUUGCAUUGUAUCAUAGUGGCUAUGGGCUCACACAAUGCAUUAUACAUGAAACUGAUUCACAUUAUGCUUUGCUAACUAAAGACUUUAAUCUUGAAGUGUUGAGCAUAUAAUGCUAUCAUUCUUCACUGAACUGGCUCUGGUCACUUGAUCAUUUUGUACCUGGGAUUGCCUCUUACAGGCUGUUAUUAUUAAAGCAAAAUGGCUUUUCCUCUUCGGCAGUUCUACUACUUUCUGUGGAGAGCUGAUUCAUAUGCUAAUGAAUGAGCUUUCUUGUUUCAUGCCAUA
Molecule: long non-coding RNA, 1257 nt
Filed under: Manacus vitellinus (golden-collared manakin)
Lineage: Eukaryota; Metazoa; Chordata; Aves; Passeriformes; Pipridae
Description: lncRNA (ENSMVIG00005005826.1)
Source: RNAcentral